RNAcentral lists this unclassified non-coding RNA (230 nucleotides) under Agaricus sp. Its description in RNAcentral is "partial internal transcribed spacer region". The record is from RNAcentral. Lineage: Eukaryota; Fungi; Basidiomycota; Agaricomycetes; Agaricales; Agaricaceae.
UUGUAGUCUUCGGUUGGGUAUAGAGGAAGUGGUCAGCCUAUCAGCAUUUGCUGGAUAUGAGGAGUGCAGUGUGAAAACAUUGCUGUCCUCAACUUGGCCAUGGAGUCUUUUGCCUGUCGGGGUCUAUGUCAAUCAUUAUACUCUAUUGAAUGUUAUUGAAUGUCUUUACAUGGGCUUUUAUGCCUAUGAAAAUUGUAAUACAACUUUCAGCAACGGAUCUCUUGGCUCUC